RNAcentral lists this ribosomal RNA (512 nucleotides) under uncultured bacterium. RNAcentral describes it as "bacterial SSU rRNA". It matches the Rfam family "Bacterial small subunit ribosomal RNA", at positions 28 to 531 of the family's 1533-position model. The record is from RNAcentral.
GACGAACGCUGGCGGCGUGGAUUAGGCAUGCAAGUCGAACGGUAUCAUCCUUUCGGGGGUGAGAGAGUGGCGAACUGGUGAGUAACACGUAGGUUAUCUACCCUCAAGACGGGGACAACCCAGGGAAACUUGGGCUAAUACCGGAUGUGAGCAACUUUUAGUUGUUUGAAAGGUGGCGUAAGCUGUCGCUUGGGGAUGAGCCUGCGUCCUAUUAGUUAGUUGGUGAGGUAACGGCUCACCUAGGCAAUGAUAGGUAGGCGGCCUUAACGGGUGGUCGCCCACACUGGGAUUGAGAUACGGCCCAGACUCCUACGGGAGGCAGCAGUCGAGAAUAGUCUACAAUGGUCGGAAGACUGAUAGUGCGACGCCGCGUGAACGAUGAAUCCCUUCGGGGUGUAAAGUUCUUUUAUAUGUGAGCAGUGCUUCUUAUAUUAACAGUAUGGGGAGAGAGAUAUUAGCAAUAUGAAUAAGCAACGGCUAACUCCGUGCCAGCAGCCGCGGUAAACUGUACG